GAGGAGGAGCGAGAGAAACUCUAUAAUGUCAUCAGCCUCGAGUUUAGCCACACCAGGCUGGAGAAUAUGGUGCAGAGGCCCUCCACGGUGGAUUUCAUUGACUGGGUAGACAACAUGUGGCCAAGGCACUUGAAGGAAAGCCAGACUGAAUCAACCAAUGCCAUCUUGGAGAUGCAGUACCCUAAAGUGCAGAAGUACUGUCUAAUGAGUGUUCGAGGCUGCUAUACUGACUUCCAUGUGGACUUUGGUGGUACCUCUGUUUGGUAUCACAUCCAUCAAGGGGGAAAGCCCACAACCUGGAGCUGUACGAGAAUUGGCUGCUGUCAGGGAAACAGGGAGACAUCUUUCUGGGUGACCGGGUGUCAGAUUGUCAGCGCAUUGAGCUCAAGCAGGGCUAUACCUUCGUCAUUCCCUCAGGCUGGAUUCAUGCUGUGUAUACUCCUACAGACACAUUAGUGUUUGGGGGCAAUUUUUUGCAUAGCUUCAACAUCCCUAUGCAGUUAAAAAUAUACAACAUUGAAGAUCGGACACGGGUUCCAAAUAAGUUUCGCUAUCCAUUCUACUAUGAGAUGUGUUGGUAUGUGUUGGAGCGCUAUGUGUACUGCAUAACCAACCGUUCCCACCUAACCAAGGAAUUUCAGAAAGAGUCCCUCAGCAUGGAUUUGGAGUUAAAUGGGUUGGAGUCUGGGAAUGGGGACGAGGAAGCAGUGGAUCGAGAACCCCGACGCUUGAGCAGCAGGCGUUCUGUCCUCACUAGCCCUGUAGCGAAUGGAGUCAACCUGGAUUAUGAUGGACUGGGCAAAACCUGCCGAAGUCUUCCAAGUCUGAAGAAAACUUUGUCUGGGGACUCAUCUUCUGACUCUAGCCGGGGCUCCCACAAUGGACAAGUGUGGGAUCCCCAGUGUGCUCCCCGAAAGGACAGGCAAGUGCAUCUGACCCAUUUUGAGCUUGAAGGCCUUCGCUGCCUUGUAGAUAAGUUGGAGUCUCUGCCACUGCACAAGAAAUGUGUCCCCACAGGGAUAGAAGAUGAAGAUGCUCUCAUUGCUGAUGUAAAGAUUUUGCUGGAGGAGCUUGCCAACAGUGAUCCCAAGUUAGCCCUCACUGGAGUUCCUAUAGUACAGUGGCCAAAAAGGGAUAAGCUUAAAUUCCCCACUCGGCCAAAGGUGCGGGUUCCUACCAUCCCCAUUACGAAGCCUCACACUAUGAAACCAGCUCCACGGUUAACACCUGUGAGGCCAGCUGCUGCCUCCCCGAUUGUGUCAGGAGCCAGACGGAGACGAGUGCGAUGUCGAAAAUGCAAAGCCUGUGUGCAAGGAGAGUGUGGUGUUUGCCACUACUGCAGAGACAUGAAGAAGUUUGGGGGGCCUGGACGCAUGAAGCAGUCCUGUGUCCUCCGACAGUGCUUGGCACCCAGACUGCCUCAUUCAGUCACAUGUUCCCUCUGUGGAGAGGUGGAUCAGAAUGAAGAGACACAAGACUUUGAGAAGAAACUCAUGGAAUGCUGUAUCUGCAAUGAGAUUGUUCAUCCUGGCUGCCUCCAGAUGGAUGGAGAGGGGUUGCUUAAUGAAGAAUUGCCAAAUUGCUGGGAAUGUCCAAAGUGCUACCAGGAGGACAGCUCGGAGAAAGCCCAGAAGCGGAAAAUGGAAGAGAGUGACGAAGAAGCUGUGCAAGCCAAAGUCCUGCGGCCCCUGCGGAGCUGCGAUGAGCCUCUCACGCCCCCGCCUCAUUCACCCACUUCCAUGCUGCAGCUCAUCCAUGACCCGGUUUCCCCCCGGGGUAUGGUGACUCGGUCAUCCCCUGGGGCUGGCCCCAGCGACCACCACAGUGCCAGCCGCGAUGAGCGCUUCAAACGGCGGCAGUUGCUGCGGCUGCAGGCCACAGAGCGCACCAUGGUACGGGAAAAGGAGAACAAUCCCAGCGGCAAAAAGGAGCUGUCUGAAGUUGAGAAAGCCAAGAUCCGGGGAUCGUACCUCACUGUCACGCUACAGAGGCCCACCAAAGAGCUCCACGGGACAUCCAUUGUGCCCAAGCUGCAGGCCAUCACGGCCUCCUCUGCCAACCUUCGCCAUUCCCCCCGUGUGCUAGUGCAGCACUGCCCAGCCCGAACCCCCCAGCGUGGGGAUGAGGAGGGGCUGGGGGGAGAGGAGGAGGAAGAGGAGGAGGAGGAGGAGGAAGAUGACAGUGCAGAGGAGGGGGGUGCAGCCAGGCUGAAUGGCCGGGGCAGUUGGGCUCAGGAUGGAGACGAAAGCUGGAUGCAGCGGGAGGUCUGGAUGUCUGUCUUCCGCUACCUCAGCCGCAGAGAACUUUGUGAAUGUAUGCGAGUGUGCAAGACGUGGUAUAAAUGGUGCUGCGACAAGAGACUUUGGACAAAAAUUGACUUGAGUAGGUGUAAGGCCAUUGUGCCCCAGGCCCUCAGUGGCAUCAUCAAGAGGCAGCCAGUCAGCCUUGACCUCAGUUGGACCAACAUCUCUAAAAAGCAACUGACAUGGCUUGUCAAUAGGCUGCCAGGACUGAAAGACCUCCUCCUAGCAGGCUGCUCCUGGUCUGCAGUCUCUGCCCUCAGCACCUCCAGCUGCCCCCUUCUCAGGACCCUUGAUCUUCGGUGGGCAGUAGGAAUCAAGGACCCUCAAAUUCGGGACUUGCUUACUCCACCGGCUGAUAAACCAGGUCAGGACAAUCGCAGCAAGCUCCGGAACAUGACCGACUUCCGGCUGGCAGGCCUUGACAUCACAGAUGCCACGCUUCGCCUCAUCAUUCGCCACAUGCCCCUCCUGUCUCGACUCGACCUCAGUCACUGCAGCCACCUUACAGAUCAGUCCUCCAAUCUACUCACUGCUGUCGGGUCUUCCACUCGCUACUCUCUCACAGAGCUCAAUAUGGCAGGUUGCAAUAAAUUGACAGACCAGACCCUGAUCUACCUACGGCGCAUUGCCAACGUCACCUUGAUCGACCUUCGAGGAUGCAAGCAGAUCACUCGAAAAGCCUGCGAGCACUUCAUCUCAGACUUGUCCAUCAACAGCCUCUACUGCCUGUCUGACGAGAAGCUGAUACAGAAGAUCAGCUAAGACACACCCAGCCCAGACUCAACAGGAAACCGAUCUUCCCCUGACUCCCCACCGAGGAGAGCCUCUCCUCGACCCUGCACGGGCUCUGAGGCCAGCGUCACACUCCCUCUCUGCUCUCCUGUCCCUUGAGCUCUUCCUCUACAGGUGGGGCAGAGAGGGUGGUGGACACCAGGCUUACCUGCCUGCUCCUCUCCCUCCUAAGGAAAAGGGAGUAGCAGAUUGAUCUGAGGGGAAAGCACAGGCUGUGCUGUCAAGGCGCCUGCUCGCUUACUCGCCUGCCAGGAGGCCGGGCUCUCAGUUUGGGGUGUUUGUGCAACCUUCAUCUGCACUGGGCCCUGUGCCCCUCCUCCCCAUCCAUGGUCCCCAGCAGUGCCUGGUUCUGAGCAAACUCCCAGGGAAGAAAACGGCCCUGUCUCCAUGGCCAGGUUCUUGUGGUGUCUAGUGCGCGUCUCUCCUCCAUCACACUCUCCCGGCUUGCGCAGGAGGGGCCGGCAGCCCCAGGAGUCCCAGACCCGUGCCGAUCACACUGGUGCUGUUGAGAUGUCCCAAACCUCACGUCCUUAACUGUGCUCUCCCUCCUUUCCUCUCCCUUGAGCUUGGUUCUGCCCAGCACUCGUGCUCGUUCAUAUAAUUAGGUUUCCCACCCCAGCCUACCCGACUUACUUGCUAGUCUCUAUGAGGUCCUUAUUGCACUUAUUGGGGUUGAAGCUCUUCAGAGGAGCUGGAACUGUCUACCCCAGGGACACACCCAUUUCGUUGCUACCCAAGUGGAUUCUGAGACAGGCACCAUCUCCUUGUUCCCCCCUCUCUCUUUUGCCUCCCACUGACUGCCCUUUUCCAUGUGUCUUCAUUCUGCCUGAAGAAGGCUUUCCCAGGAUGCACGUCCUCAGAGGGAGCAGCCUAUCUCCCCCAAGCUGGAGGCGGCAGAGGACUGGGCCAAGCCCCAACCUGCCUGUGUCUAGCCCCAGUGGCUCACUGACCUUUCAGGACAGUCAGGGGGUCCUGCUUAGAAGCCAGUCACCUGCCCUCUGCCUGCAGCCAUGGAAGGGGGUGUGCAUGUGCCUCUGUGUGUGUGGCUGAGUGUAUUCCGCGCGUGUGUGUGGAGGGAGGGAGCGAGGGGAGCAUGGUGUCUCCCGCUCCACCGCCCUUUGUCGAGCCCCAUCAGCUGCCCCCUUUUACUUUGCAUUGAACGGCCUGUCCAAAGAUCCUCUCUCUAGGGCAGCAGAGAGCUUUUUGCACUUUAAAAAAAAAGAAAGAAAGGUCGGAAUUUCUUUUAGGUCAAUAUUUUUAAGUGUGUGAGGAGAUGCUCGGUAGCAGCAGCCUAUGGCAAGAGCUUAUGAUUGAUGCAAAUUUGCACUCUGCUCCCCCUCUGUAAGGAUACUGAUAGCACAACCUCUUCUUCCCCCCACCCCUGCCCUGCCUUCUGGUCCUCCAUCCCUGUCCCUUUCUGGCCCUCUCCCUGUAGCCCAGUCUCAGGCUUUCCUCUUCCUGAAGCCCUACAGAGGUAGGGAAUGGAGCCCAGGCACCAGGGGUCUGAAGUGUGAGCCACUGAGAAGAGAGACGCCAACUGCACCCUUGCCACUUCCAAAGCAAUAGAGGCAGAGUGGUCCCCUCUUUGCCACCUAGGCCAGUUUUGACCCUGGCAUUAACUGGCCUUAGAAGAAACUGGGUCCUGGUAGGGGGUGGCAUUUUGUCUGUUUCUUCCAAUCUGCUGAAUCUUUUGACUGCACCUUACAAACAGCAGUCUGUUCCCAUGACCCUCUGCCCACUUCCAUUGGUCUCCAGGCCCCAAUAAUCUGGGGUUGAAACUUUGAGGAAAUGCCAGUGACUUAUUCCAGAGUGCCUCAGUUAGGGGAACUUCUCUGUAAAGAACCCUGGGUAUUGAGCAAAAACCUUAUUAUUGUUAAUGACCUAUAAUUGGAAGCUUCCUGCCUUUUUCUUUGGUUGCUCCUGUGGAAAAUACUGAAAAGAUUACUUUGUUUUAUUUUGUUGUCUUUUUAUAAAAGGGGAGGUGGAGAGACCCCUUCAGAGCAGGGAUUGUGCCGGGAGAGUGCCUCUGACUUUGGGACAUUUCAUCCACAGAAAUUUCCAAGCCAAUGGUUUCUUUUGGGUUUUGGUUUUUAUGUUUGUUUUUUGGGGUUUGGAAAAACAUGCAUUUUUACCGUGCACGUAAAUUGGUCAGCAGAAAAGGGAGCCCAGAAGAGGCAGCAGAUGGACCAUGCCUUUGCUGGGUUUUCCUUUUCUUUGGGACUGUGAGGGGAAAUGGUUUUUAGAGGUGAGGGUUGGUCCAUGUGGAGGAAAGAAGUGUCUCUGUUGGGGGACAGAGGAACCUGGGGAGUCCAUCGCAUGUCCUACAAUCUGCUCUUAGACACGGCCUUGCCAGGAGAGCCUGCCCUCAGACUGCAGGACCAGAACCCCUGCCUCCAUCUUUCCAAGCACCGGGGCGAAAAACCACAAAGGAAAGGAAGAAAAUUUAUAUAUAUAUAAUAUAAAAUCACUUGGUGAUUAAAAAAAUAACUGCUCCAUAAAUAAAACUCCUAAAGUCA
Molecule: small RNA, 5611 nt
Filed under: Pongo abelii (Sumatran orangutan)
Lineage: Eukaryota; Metazoa; Chordata; Mammalia; Primates; Hominidae
Description: processed transcript
Source: RNAcentral